Molecule: ribosomal RNA, 207 nt
Filed under: uncultured bacterium
Lineage: Bacteria
Description: partial 16S ribosomal RNA
Rfam family: Bacterial small subunit ribosomal RNA
Source: RNAcentral
AGCGCAGGCGGUUUCUUAAGUCUGAUGUGAAAGCCUUCGGCUCAACCGAAGAAGUGCAUCGGAAACUGGGAAACUUGAGUGCAGAAGAGGACAGUGGAGCUCCAUGUGUAGCGGUGAAAUGCGUAGAUAUAUGGAAGAACACCAGUGGCGAAGGCGGCUGUCUGGUCUGUAACUGACGCUGAGGCUCGAAAGCAUGGGUAGCAAACA